This 1563-nucleotide ribosomal RNA is filed under the name human gut metagenome. Its description in RNAcentral is "bacterial LSU rRNA". It matches the Rfam family "Bacterial large subunit ribosomal RNA", at positions 1271 to 2818 of the family's 2925-position model. The record is from RNAcentral.
UGCUGGAGGUAUCAGAAGUGCGAAUGCUGACAUAAGUAACGAUAAAGCGGGUGAAAAGCCCGCUCGCCGGAAGACCAAGGGUUCCUGUCCAACGUUAAUCGGGGCAGGGUGAGUCGACCCCUAAGGCGAGGCCGAAAGGCGUAGUCGAUGGGAAACAGGUUAAUAUUCCUGUACUUGGUGUUACUGCGAAGGGGGGACGGAGAAGGCUAUGUUGGCCGGGCGACGGUUGUCCCGGUUUAAGCGUGUAGGCUGAUUUUCCAGGCAAAUCCGGAAAAUCAAGGCUGAGGCGUGAUGACGAGGCACUACGGUGCUGAAGCAACAAAUGCCCUGCUUCCAGGAAAAGCCUCUAAGCAUCAGGUAACAUCAAAUCGUACCCCAAACCGACACAGGUGGUCAGGUAGAGAAUACCAAGGCGCUUGAGAGAACUCGGGUGAAGGAACUAGGCAAAAUGGUGCCGUAACUUCGGGAGAAGGCACGCUGGUGUGUAGGUGAAGUCCCUGCGGAUGGAGCUGAGACCAGUCGAAGAUACCAGCUGGCUGCAACUGUUUAUUAAAAACACAGCACUGUGCAAACACGAAAGUGGACGUAUACGGUGUGACGCCUGCCCGGUGCCGGAAGGUUAAUUGAUGGGGUUAUCCGUAAGGAGAAGCUCUUGAUCGAAGCCCCGGUAAACGGCGGCCGUAACUAUAACGGUCCUAAGGUAGCGAAAUUCCUUGUCGGGUAAGUUCCGACCUGCACGAAUGGCGUAAUGAUGGCCAGGCUGUCUCCACCCGAGACUCAGUGAAAUUGAACUCGCUGUGAAGAUGCAGUGUACCCGCGGCAAGACGGAAAGACCCCGUGAACCUUUACUAUAGCUUGACACUGAACAUUGAGCCUUGAUGUGUAGGAUAGGUGGGAGGCUUUGAAGUGUGGACGCCAGUCUGCAUGGAGCCGACCUUGAAAUACCACCCUUUAAUGUUUGAUGUUCUAACGUUGGCCCGUUAUCCGGGUUGCGGACAGUGUCUGGUGGGUAGUUUGACUGGGGCGGUCUCCUCCUAAAGAGUAACGGAGGAGCACGAAGGUUGGCUAAUCCUGGUCGGACAUCAGGAGGUUAGUGCAAUGGCAUAAGCCAGCUUGACUGCGAGCGUGACGGCGCGAGCAGGUGCGAAAGCAGGUCAUAGUGAUCCGGUGGUUCUGAAUGGAAGGGCCAUCGCUCAACGGAUAAAAGGUACUCCGGGGAUAACAGGCUGAUACCGCCCAAGAGUUCAUAUCGACGGCGGUGUUUGGCACCUCGAUGUCGGCUCAUCACAUCCUGGGGCUGAAGUAGGUCCCAAGGGUAUGGCUGUUCGCCAUUUAAAGUGGUACGCGAGCUGGGUUUAGAACGUCGUGAGACAGUUCGGUCCCUAUCUGCCGUGGGCGCUGGAGAACUGAGGGGGGCUGCUCCUAGUACGAGAGGACCGGAGUGGACGCAUCACUGGUGUUCGGGUUGUCAUGCCAAUGGCACUGCCCGGUAGCUAAAUGCGGAAGAGAUAAGUGCUGAAAGCAUCUAAGCACGAAACUUGCCCCGAGAUGAGUUCUCCCUGA